GUGAAUCAUCGAAUCUUUGAACGCAUAUUGCACCCUCUGGUAUUCCGGAGUGUAUGCCUGUUCGAGGUUAAUUAAAAAGAAUAUUUACCAAUUUUUUUUGGUUAAAGGAAAUGAGUUCUCCGCGUUUAUAGCGGUAGCUUGAAAUAAAUGGUAGUCUAAUUUUAGUCGAGACGCGUAAUAAUAUUAUUUCGCGUAAUAUUUAUUAUGUGACUACCAAGUUUUGAUUCAUUCAAUUUUGUUUGUAAGAGAUCAAUACAAAUAUUUUGAACAUUAUAUCAAAUCAUGUAGGAGUACC
Molecule: unclassified non-coding RNA, 295 nt
Filed under: Ambisporaceae sp.
Lineage: Eukaryota; Fungi; Glomeromycota; Glomeromycetes; Archaeosporales; Ambisporaceae
Description: partial contains 5.8S ribosomal RNA and internal transcribed spacer 2
Rfam family: 5.8S ribosomal RNA (bases 1-71)
Source: RNAcentral